AAUAGAUACCCAGGUAGUCCACGCCGUAAACGAUGGAUACUAGCUGUCGGAGGUAUCGACCCCUUCAGUAGCGAAGCUAACGCGUUAAGUAUCCCGCCUGUGGAGUACGGUCGCAAGACUAAAACAUAAAGGAAUUGACGGGGACCCGCACAAGCGGUGGAUCGUGUUCUUUAAUUCGAUGCUAAACGAAGAACCUUACCAGGGCUUGACAUCCCUUGAAUUAAUCCGAAAGGAUUGAGUGCUUUAUUGAACAAGGUGACAGGUGUUGCAUGGCCGUCGUCAGCUCGUGUCGUGAGAUGUUUGGUUAAGUCCAUCAACGAGCGCAACCCUUGCAAGUAGUUGUAUUUUUCUACUUGGACUGCCCCGGCAACGGGGAGGAAGGAGGGGAUGAUGUCAGGUCAGUAUUACCCUUACGUCCUGGGCUAGAAACACGAUACAAUGGCAAGUACAGUGCGCAGCGAAGCCGCGAGGUGAAGCAAAUCGCAUCAAAGCUUGUCCCAGUUCGGAUUGGAGGCUGAAACUCGCCUCCAUGAAGUCGGAA
RNAcentral lists this ribosomal RNA (541 nucleotides) under uncultured bacterium. Its description in RNAcentral is "bacterial SSU rRNA". It matches the Rfam family "Bacterial small subunit ribosomal RNA", at positions 777 to 1331 of the family's 1533-position model. The record is from RNAcentral.